CCUCAACAUCCAGAGUCGGUGAAUCGACGUCAUCACCAUCAUUCAAUUUCUGAAUUCGAUGUAGCUUCAACAGCAAAACCUGCAACUGCAAUAAUAACAAUAAAUACUCAGUGUCAAACGGAAGAAAUAGCAAAGAAGAAAGAACGCAAAAGUAAAAGGAAGAAUACGUUAUCCGAACCACGCACAGAGACAAAGAAGAAGGAUCAGAAUCAGAUAGGUGAAAAGAAUAUACACCUGUACAUCGAGACUUUCGCCAGAAGGGGAUUUCUUCACCGUUGUUGCUGUGAGGUAAGACUGAUUUGU
Non-coding RNA from Vicia faba (fava bean), 303 nucleotides. NCBI's taxonomy places the organism in Eukaryota, Viridiplantae, Streptophyta, Magnoliopsida, Fabales, Fabaceae. The record is from the annotation of a GenBank genome assembly.